Molecule: long non-coding RNA, 513 nt
Filed under: Manacus vitellinus (golden-collared manakin)
Lineage: Eukaryota; Metazoa; Chordata; Aves; Passeriformes; Pipridae
Description: lncRNA (ENSMVIG00005015123.1)
Source: RNAcentral
CUUUAGGUUUCCUCUGGAACCAUGAGCGGCACAGGAAUAAGUCACCAGCAUGUCUGCUGCAAACACAGCUGCAAAUGACAACCCUGCUGCUGGGGAAAGCAGACGGAGAAUGGAGAACACAACUUCAUCUUGAGGGCUUUUCCUUAGGAGAAGCCACUCCAGUGCUUGUGCUCUUGAACUUCUGAGGUGAUUGAAAAUUGCAUUCUUAGAAAUGAGAAGAGGAAUUUAAAAAGUCCGAAGACUACUCAGUUCAAAAUAACUCCUGUUUUUGAGAGCCUGGACUUUGACUUGGGAACCCUUCAAAGCACCACGAGCCAUGUCGUCUGGCUGGAAAAGUGGAUUGUUUGGCCAGGUCAGGUUAUAUCAAACAAGUUCUUGAGCAUGUCAGAGCAACCACACCUCCUGGCUCUUCAGAUGCAGGAGGUAUUUAUCCCAGCUUUUGCCAGACUUCACAAAAGACUCUUGCAUGCUUCUACCCUCACGUGCCAUGGCCUGUGUGACUUGAUACCUUAA